GACGAACGCUGGCGGCGUGCUUAACACAUGCAAGUCGAACGGAAAGGCCCUGCUUUUGUGGGGUGCUCGAGUGGCGAACGGGUGAGUAACACGUGAGUAACCUGCCCUUGACUUUGGGAUAACUUCAGGAAACUGGGGCUAAUACCGGAUAGGAGCUCCUGCUGCAUGGUGGGGGUUGGAAAGUUUCGGCGGUUGGGGAUGGACUCGCGGCUUAUCAGCUUGUUGGGGGGGUAGUGGCUUACCAAGGCUUUGACGGGUAGCCGGCCUGAGAGGGUGACCGGCCACAUUGGGACUGAGAUACGGCACAGACUCCUACGGGAGGCAGCAGUGGGGAAUAUUGCACAAUGGGAGGAAGCCUGAUGCAGCAACGCCGCGUGCGGGAUGACGGCCUUCGGGUUGUAAACCGCUUUCGCCUGUGACGAAGCGUGAGUGACGGUAAUGGGUAAAGAAGCACCGGCUAACUACGUG
This 468-nucleotide ribosomal RNA is filed under the name uncultured bacterium. Its description in RNAcentral is "partial 16S ribosomal RNA". It matches the Rfam family "Bacterial small subunit ribosomal RNA", at positions 28 to 507 of the family's 1533-position model. The record is from RNAcentral.